Molecule: ribosomal RNA, 301 nt
Filed under: uncultured bacterium
Lineage: Bacteria
Description: partial 16S ribosomal RNA
Rfam family: Bacterial small subunit ribosomal RNA
Source: RNAcentral
CAGCAGCCGCGGUAAUACGAAGGGUGCAAGCGUUACUCGGAAUUACUGGGCGUAAAGCGUGCGAAGGUGGUGGUUUAAGUCCGUUGUGAAAGCCCUGGGCUCAACCUGGGAAUUGCAGUGGAUACUGGGUCACUAGAGUGUGGUAGAGGAUAGUGGAAUUUCCGGUGUAGCAGUGAAAUGCGUAGAGAUCGGAAGGAACAUCUGUGGCGAAGGCGACUAUCUGGGCCAACACUGACACUGAGGCACGAAAGCGUGGGGAGCAAACAGGAUUAGAUACCCCCGUAGUCCCUGUCUCUUAUAA